UGCUGGAGGCAGCAGAUCUCGUUGACACCUGGUGGGUCCUCCAUGCUGAUGAGUGCCAAUACACCUGGGCAAAGAUGAGCACCAGUGGGAUCGCCAUGGCCCGCCUCGACCACCUUUACAUCGCCCAGCACCAUCUGCCGUUACUAAACAGCAGCUGCAUCAUCCCAUUGGGCCUCUCAGACCAUGCCCUGGUGUGCUUCAAACUGAGCCUGGCUGGCAGACCACGCACGUGGGCCCCUUGCUGGUGCUUUAACAUCAGCCUGCUACAGGACACCAACUUCAGGGACUGCUUUGCCCACCUUUGGAGGAGCUGGCAGGCUGCGCGAGCAGACUGCCCCUCCUGGCGGCUGUGGUGGGACAUGGGGAAGAUCCAGAUUCAGGCAUUCUGCCAGCAGUAUUCCCAGCUGGGGGCAAACAAGAUCCACCGCUGCACCCAGGAGCUGGAGGAGGAUGUGGUGGUGCUUGAGGCAGCCCUGCUUCAUGCAGGCAAUAACGCGGCACUCCUCGAGAGCUUCCAGUCCCGCAAGAAAUGCCUGCAGGAGCUGGUGGAGGGUGCGGCCCACGGUGCACAGGUUUGUGCCCGAUGCCAGGAGCUGGCAGAGGCCGACUCCCUGACUGGCUUCUUCUUCGGCCUGGAGAGGUGGCAGGCUGUGGCAAAGACAUUGGACCAUCUCAAGACCCCAGAGGGAUGGCUGCUCAUGGACCCAGGCAAAGUGCGGGGACAUGUUAUUGCCUUCUAUUGGGACUUGUUUGCAGCUAACCCCAUUUGUCCAGAGGCCGCUCAGCAGCUGCAUAAGGACCUGCUGUGCCUCGGCGCUUUGCAGGUUGAGGCCCUGGAGCAUGAACUCUCCGUGGCAGAACUCAUGGCUGCUGUGGGGGGAUUUGCCUCAGGCAGGGCCCCGGGCCUUGAUUGACUGCCCGUUGAAUUUUACAAAGUCUUCUGGCCUCUCCUUGGGUCCAGCCUCCUCCAUGUUUUCCAUGAGAGCCUCACUGAAGGGACCCUGCUGACCAGCUGCCACCAGGCAGUGCUCACCUUGCUGCCCAAGAAAGGGGACCUCAGCUACCUUAAGAACUAGCGGCCCAUCUCCCUUCUGUGCGCCAACUAUAAGAUCCUGGUGAAGGCGCUGGUGAACCAUCUCCGCACUGUCAUGGCCUCUGUCAUUGGGCUUGAGCAAAGCUACUGUGUCCCAGGCAGGACCAUCCAGGACAGACUGUUUC
This 1218-nucleotide long non-coding RNA is filed under the name Crocodylus porosus (Australian saltwater crocodile). RNAcentral's name for it is "lncRNA (ENSCPRG00005017814.1)". The record is from RNAcentral. Lineage: Eukaryota; Metazoa; Chordata; Crocodylia; Crocodylidae.